This 235-nucleotide ribosomal RNA is filed under the name uncultured fungus. Its description in RNAcentral is "partial 18S ribosomal RNA". It matches the Rfam family "Eukaryotic small subunit ribosomal RNA", at positions 548 to 785 of the family's 1831-position model. Lineage: Eukaryota; Fungi. The record is from RNAcentral.
UUGGAGGGCAAGUCUGGUGCCAGCAGCCGCGGUAAUUCCAGCUCCAAUAGCGUAUAUUAAAGUUGUUGCAGUUAAAAAGCUCGUAGUUGAAUUUCGGGAUUAGUACGUCGGUCGUGCCUUAGGUACGUACUGGUGUUACUGGUUCCUACCUUCUGACGAACCAUCAUGUCAUUAAUUUGGUGUCGUGGGGAAUCAGGACUGUUACUUUGAAAAAAUUAGAGUGUUUAAAGCAGGC